CAAAAUAUUAAGCCUAGUUCAAGGCUGCUUUCCUGUUGUGGUAAUUAGGUUUUGAAAUAUUAAGACAGAAGCUAGGGAAGAUGAUUCGGCAGAAGGUAUUUGUCUAUUCAUUUCCCUCCCAGUCUAUAAAU
Molecule: small nucleolar RNA, 131 nt
Organism: Sorex araneus (European shrew)
Lineage: Eukaryota; Metazoa; Chordata; Mammalia; Eulipotyphla; Soricidae
Source: Ensembl